UAAUACUGUAAAUUACUGUAAUAGUUGGUUCUUCUUCGCCAUCUUCUCUCAUCAGUAGAGAGAGAUAGACAGAGACUGAAGGGAGGAGCCUUAAGAUAUCUUUGGUGGUGGUGGUGUUUCUCUAAUGCUUGAAGAAGAUAGGGGUGGAAGGUAUCAAAUAACUUGAUUUACAAAGAGAAGACGGCUAUUUCAUUGUUGCUUGGGAACAUGGCCAAGGGUCUGCUAUGGGCAACAGCCGAGGACUUGGCAAGUAAUAGAGGACGGGUCCUUUCUCUAUACCGUCAGAUAUUAAGAAGCCUCAAUUCCCCUAAGCUUCCCAUUAACUUAGCAGCAAGAUUGGCUAAGAAAGCAGAGGCUCGUGCUAUUUUCAUGCUGGGCGCAGAAGAGGAAUCCCUGCACAACAUUGAGGACCUUAUUGAUACCGGAGAUACGCUCUUUCCCUCCUGAGAAAAGGUGAAAUCCCUAAAUACAUCCAGUGAGUGCAGCACUGGUUAUUGAACUUCUCAUACUUCGCUAUACAUAGUUUGCUAGUUUCUGAUAGGCUUUUGUUUAUGUCAAAUGGUAUACAAGAAAAACGGAUGGUGAAAUGUAGCUUUUUGCCGAUGACUUCAAAUUAUUUUCUGAUGUUCGUACUUUUUAGCAACAA
Papaver somniferum (opium poppy) is the source of this 646-nucleotide long non-coding RNA. RefSeq lists it as uncharacterized. The record is from RefSeq and is a predicted model, not a curated record. The transcript is spliced from 2 exons. Lineage: Eukaryota; Viridiplantae; Streptophyta; Magnoliopsida; Ranunculales; Papaveraceae.